AACGAACGCUGGCGGCAUGCCUAACACAUGCAAGUCGAACGAGACCUUCGGGUCUAGUGGCGCACGGGUGCGUAACGCGUGGGAACCUGCCUUUAGGUUCGGAAUAACUCAGAGAAAUUUGAGCUAAUACCGGAUAAUGUCUUCGGACCAAAGAUUUAUCGCCUUUAGAUGGGCCCGCGUUGGAUUAGCUAGUUGGUGGGGUAAAGGCCUACCAAGGCGACGAUCCAUAGCUGGUCUGAGAGGAUGAUCAGCCACACUGGGACUGAGACAGGCCCAGACUCCUACGGGAGGCAGCAGUGGGGAANAUUGGACAAUGGGCGAAAG
This 324-nucleotide ribosomal RNA is filed under the name uncultured bacterium. RNAcentral's name for it is "bacterial SSU rRNA". It matches the Rfam family "Bacterial small subunit ribosomal RNA", at positions 29 to 381 of the family's 1533-position model. The record is from RNAcentral.